UGGGGAAUAUUGGGCAAUGGGCGCAAGCCUGACCCAGCAACGCCGCGUGAAGGAAGAAGGCUUUCGGGUUGUAAACUUCUUUUGGCAGGGACGAAAAAAAUGACGGUACCUGCAGAAUAAGCUCCGGCUAACUACGUGCCAGCAGCCGCGGUAAUACGUAGGGAGCAAGCGUUAUCCGGAUUUACUGGGUGUAAAGGGCGCGUAGGCGGGAAUGCAAGUCAGAUGUGAAAUCUGGGGGCUCAACCCCCAAACUGCAUUUGAAACUGUAUUUCUUGAGUGAUGGAGAGGCAAGUGGAAUUCCUAGUGUAGCGGUGAAAUCCGUAGAUAUCCGGAGGAACACCGGUGGCGAAGGCGGCCACCUGGACAGGUACUGACGCUGAGGCGCGAAAGCGUGGGGAGCAAACA
This 405-nucleotide ribosomal RNA is filed under the name uncultured prokaryote. RNAcentral's name for it is "bacterial SSU rRNA". It matches the Rfam family "Bacterial small subunit ribosomal RNA", at positions 355 to 774 of the family's 1533-position model. The record is from RNAcentral.